AGAGAAGAGCAAAAGCUGAACCCAGCAUGUGGCAGAUUGACAUUUGUCCCUGUCUUUAACAGUCAGCUAGCUGUGUCUUUUCUCUUUAGGUUCUUAUAUAGUAAUUCCUUACCCAUAUGGGGGAUUCGAUUUCUAAGUACCCUUGGUUGGUAAAAAUGAAAGUCUCAUAAAAAGAUUAAGUUUAAGAUUGGAGUUAGGUAGGAGAAAACCAUAAAAAUGACAUCAAAUAUUUUAUUUUUUAAAUAUUUAUAUAUAAUUUAUUUUUUGGCUUUAUUUUUUUAAUCGACAAAAAUAUGUAUUUAUCAUGUACAAUAUGUUUUGAAAUAUGUAUACAUGGUGGAAUGGCUAAAUAGAGCUAAUUAGCACAUGCUUUUUGUGAGAACAUUCAAAAUCCACUCUUAGCAAUCUUCAGAAAUACUGUACAUUGCUAUUAACUGUAGUCACCAUGUUGUUCAGUAGAUCUCUUGAACCUAUUCCACCAGUCUAACUAAAAUUUUGUAUCCUUUAAACAAUACCUCCCUACCCGGCCCCACCCCCCAGACCCUGGUAACCACUACUCUAAUCUCUGCUCUAUGAGAUGUCUGUAUUUUAAAACACAGUAAAUAAAAGUUCUGGAAAGUAUCUGUUUCCAAAAUAAAGCAUGUUCAUCAUUGUC
This 655-nucleotide small RNA is filed under the name Pongo abelii (Sumatran orangutan). RNAcentral's name for it is "sense intronic". Lineage: Eukaryota; Metazoa; Chordata; Mammalia; Primates; Hominidae. The record is from RNAcentral.